Molecule: ribosomal RNA, 1717 nt
Filed under: Trichoplusia ni (cabbage looper)
Lineage: Eukaryota; Metazoa; Arthropoda; Insecta; Lepidoptera; Noctuidae
Description: SSU rRNA
Rfam family: Eukaryotic small subunit ribosomal RNA
Source: RNAcentral
CCCUGGUUGAUCCUGCCAGUAGUUAUAUGCUUGUCUCAAAGAUUAAGCCAUGCAUGUCUCAGUGCAAGCCGUAUUAAGGCGAUACCGCGAAUGGCUCAAUAUAUCAGUUUUGGUUCCUUAGAUCUUACUCAGUUACUUGGAUAACUGUGGUAAUUCUAGAGCUAAUACAUGCAAUCAGAACUCUGACCAGUGAUGGGAUGAGUGCUUUUAUUAGAUCAAAACCAAUCGACGGAUGGCCAUGUGUCUGAAGUCGUUAAUUUUGAUGAAUCUGGAUAACUUUUGCCGAUCGCAUGGUCCAGUACCGGCGACGCAUCUUUCAAAUGUCUGCCUUAUCAACUUUCGAUGGUAGUUUCUGCGACUACCAUGGUUGUCACGGGUAACGGGGAAUCAGGGUUCGAUUCCGGAGAGGGAGCCUGAGAAACGGCUACCACAUCCAAGGAAGGCAGCAGGCGCGCAAAUUACCCACUCCCGGCACGGGGAGGUAGUGACGAAAAAUAACGAUACGGGACUCUUACGAGGCCUCGUAAUCGGAAUGAGUACACUUUAAAUAUUUUAACGAGGAACAAUUGGAGGGCAAGUCUGGUGCCAGCAGCCGCGGUAAUUCCAGCUCCAAUAGCGUAUACUAAAAUUGUUGCGGUUAAAAAGCUCGUAGUUGCAUUUGUGCGCCGCGCUGUCGGUGCACCGCAUCCGCGGUGAUACUGACACGUCUGCGGAGCAUAUCGUCGGUGAGCCGGCGGUAAUACGCCGGUUCAAUAUCAAAAUCCUAUCGCGGUGCUCUUCGGUGAGUGUCGAGGUGGGCCGACAAUUUUACUUUGAACAAAUUAGAGUGCUCAAAGCGGGCUCAAAAUGCUGCUUGAAUAUUUCGUGCAUGGAAUAAUAGAAUAUGAUCUCGGUUCUAUUUUGUUGGUUUUCAGAACUCCGAGGUAAUGAUUAAUAGGGAUAACUGGGGGCAUUCGUAUUGCGACGUUAGAGGUGAAAUUCUUGGAUCGUCGCAAGACGAACAUCAGCGAAAGCAUUUGCCAAAGGUGUUUUCAUCAAUCAAGAACGAAAGUUAGAGGUUCGAAGGCGAUUAGAUACCGCCCUAGUUCUAACCGUAAAUAUGUCAUCUAGCGAUCCGCCGACGUUACUACAAUGGCUCGGCGGGCAGCUUCCGGGAAACCAAAGAUUUUGGACUCCGGGGGGAGUAUGGUUGCAAAGCUGAAACUUAAAGGAAUUGACGGAAGGGCACCACCAGGAGUGGAGCCUGCGGCUUAAUUUGACUCAACACGGGAAAUCUCACCAGGCCCGGACACCGGAAGGAUUGACAGAUUAACAGCUCUUUCUUGAUUCGGUGGGUGGUGGUGCAUGGCCGUUCUUAGUUGGUGGAGCGAUUUGUCUGGUUAAUUCCGGUAACGAACGAGACUCUAGCCUGCUAAAUAGGCGUCGUCAUUUAGGUGUGCGUGGCUACGCGUCGAUCGCGCAGACGCAUCUCGACGAGACGUCGAGACGCAUGAUACGCUUACUCGCGAUCAUUGUACGUCCGUCGCGUAAAACGCAAAUACACGUCGUUAAAUGUGCAAGAGCGUCAGACACGUCGUUCGACAAAUGUCCUAUCUAUCGUAUAGAGCGUUAUUUUUGAACGGACCGUCGGUAACAACGUUCAACCCGAAAGAGCGAAGCGUAAACAGCGACGACACUUAUCAAGCGAAACGGACCGACGGAUGGCCGUCAAAUGCGC